This 449-nucleotide ribosomal RNA is filed under the name uncultured bacterium. RNAcentral's name for it is "partial 16S ribosomal RNA". It matches the Rfam family "Bacterial small subunit ribosomal RNA", at positions 29 to 523 of the family's 1533-position model. The record is from RNAcentral.
AACGAACGCUGGCGGCAUGCCUAACACAUGCAAGUCGAACGAGAUCUUCGGGUCUAGUGGCGCACGGGUGCGUAACGCGUGGGAAUCUGCCCUUUGGUUCGGAAUAACAGUUGGAAACGACUGCUAAUACCGGAUGAUGACGAAAGUCCAAAGAUUUAUCGCCAGAGGAUGAGCCCGCGUAGGAUUAGCUAGUUGGUGUGGUAAAGGCGCGCCAAGGCGACGAUCCUUAGCUGGUCUGAGAGGAUGAUCAGCCACACUGGGACGGAGACACGGCCCAGACUCCUACGGGAGGCAGCAGUGGGGAAUAUUGGACAAUGGGCGAAAGCCUGAUCCAGCGAUGCCGCGUGAGUGAUGAAGGCCUUAGGGUUGUAAAGCUCUUUUACCCGGGAUGAUAAUGACAGUACCGGGAGAAUAAGCUCCGGCUAACUCCGUGCCAGCCGCCGCCGUAA